AUCAUUCUUUCCUGCAUCAAUUUUGUCACGGUCCAAACUUAUUGUUCUGAAAAGCACUAGCCAAAGGCAAGACAUGGAUGCCGUGACUAUUCUCCUUUCCUACCAGGUCCUUAAGCGCCUUCUUCUUGAAAGUCCAGCUGCCAGUUCUCAGGUUGAAAUGGUAUAGAGGAAGAAAUCGUUGGCCAUAGAUGGCUACGAACUCCAACGCCGCAAGAAUGUAUUCAAACUCCUCAUUUGACAUGUAGUAAGGAAAGCUGACUCUUGUCCAUCCAGGUUUUGCUCCUAUGUAGCCCUGCAAUCAAACUUUGCAAUUGGCAUUAGAUAAGUUGAAUUAUAUUUUACUUCUCUUUCAUUUGGUCAAAAAAAAAAAAGGAAAAUUUUGUACUGAUACCCUUUUAAUAGCUUCUCUGAACGCAAGGGAUCGAGUCUGAUCAAUAUCAAGCAAACUGUGGCCAUAAGGUCCAGCACAAGCACACCCAUCUCGAUCUUGGAUGCCAAUCAGAUCAUUUAGGAUGGUUGCAACAAAAGGGCCAUGGAGAGGUUUAUCCCUCUUGUUCCCAGUCUCUCCCCACAUGAAAAGUCCCUUACCCUUUUCACCGCCCGUUCAACAUUGUUUAACCUCGUUGGUUGUGGAGUAGAUGAGGAAAAGACAUAUGGCUUGUCUCUGGGCUCGGUGCUUGAUUUCUAAACCCGUUAUGUUUUGGUUUGGAGAAAGCCUCAUCCAAUGCUUGAUUUAUGUCCAUACUUCUCCUGCUUUGGCAAUCACUCAUAACCAAUAUAUUCUUUUUACCCAAAAGUCAAUGCUGCUGCUAACAAUCUGAAUUAUUUGAGGAGUCCCUCCCAUUUUCCCCUUUCUUCUCAUGUCAUCUUACAUAUAUUGUGUCCUGCAAAAUACAUACCCCAUUUUACCACAUUUUAAAUUGCAUACCUGCUUCCCUAAAUGCUGGGGGAAUGAAUCUGAUAAUAUCAUGAUAACUUAUCAUUCUAUGUAGAAGUAUUUUUUAUGACACGUCGUGCCUUUAGGAAAUUUGGUUGGAAAAUCUCUUUUCUUCUUAAAAUUGUAAUUAAAAUAAAAAAAUUUUUUAGAGACACUUAUCAUUCACUAGUCUAUGUCUAAACCCGCUCCAUCUGAAUCAGGAAUUUAUUUCUAAACUCCAAAAAGCCUGACAGCUACCUAAUCAUUCUUUAUGUCGUCCAGUCGAAGAAAGAAACCAAAAUUUCUUACAAAAUGGGAUAUAUAAGCAAGAAUAAGAAAAAGGUAAAGAAAAUACAAAUUUCCAUUUUAUUGUAGAGAGGUGAACAAAAAAUAAAAUCUUUCAUCUAUUAAAUUGAAUUAAUCUGAACACAAAAAUAUAAUAAAAAUCUCUUCAUUUAUUAUCAAUUAAUUUUAAAUUUGAGUGUAAUUACCUGUUCAUUGAAGCCAUUGACAUAAUUAACAGUUCCACCUCCGCAAGUUGAUGGAGGAGAAGAUCCCAGCCGGUAGAGAGUCUUGCUCAUUAAAAGGAUGCCGGGCGUUCCAGGGCCACCUAGAAACUUAUGUGGGCUUAGGAAAAUGGCAUCAUAUCCAUCAAUCUCCCCUGACCUCAUAUCAAUCUCCACAUAAGGACCACUAUCCACAAAAACAAAAUGAUAAGCACUAUCAAAAAUCAACUUCUCAUUGCUUUAUAACAUUAACAUAAUACAUAAAACUUGGCUAAUAAUUAAUUGUGAGAUCUGUUAUUAAAAUAUUAAACUUUUAAUUUUAACAAUCAAAGAUUAAAUUCUGACAACCUCGAAUAUAAAAGCUUGACAACAAAAAAUGAAAAUUCUUACUGUGUACCUUGCUGCAGAAUCAAAGCAAACAAAACCUCCGUACUCAUGAAGAAGUUUGGCAAUCUCUCGAGUAUCUGUUUGAAUCCCAGUCACAUUACUACAAGCUGAAAAUGAGCCAAGCAAAGGCCUAUUGGCGUAUUUAUACAGCUCAACCUGUUUUCUUAGUGCUUCAAUGUCUAUGAACCCAUUCUCAUCUAAACCAAUCUCAACAACUUCAGCAAGGCUGUGACGCCAAGAAAGCAAGUUUGAGUGGUGCUCGUAAGGGCCAAUAAAAACUACCCAUCGAUACUCAUUCGGUAAGCAAUUUAUUACCAUGUCCCUCAAAAUUGAUGGUACCGUAAUCCCCAUAACUUCUUGUAGCCUUUUAAUAGCAGCCGUGUUGCCUGAGCCACAAAACAGAAUUGCAUCAUCUUGACCGCCUCCUAGGCUUCUUUUAAUGUAGUUUGACGCUUCAUGCACCAUUUUCGUCGUCCUGUGCCCCACGUAACAGUCAGACGUGUGAGUGUUACCUACGCACGAACCAACCAAGAUCAGCUGACAAAUACUAAAACCCUAAUAUAUAUAUAUAUAUAUAUAUUAUACUCGGAAAUGACGCCAUCACUUUUGUUAAUUAAAUCAGAGUAUCACAAUUGAAGAUCAGAAGAAAAAAAACCUUUACCGUAGAAUGGCAGAACAUUGGUGACGAUGAAGUUUUCGAUAUAGUGAAAAGAGCGACCCGAUGCAGUAUGAUCAGCAUAAGUAAGUUUUCUAGUUCCAAAAGGAGAGUCAAAUUCUGCAUCACCACCAGUGAUUUGAGAUCGUAGCCAAGACAGCUUUUUCUCGGUGGAGUCAACCUUUGGCACAUCCAUCUCUAGAGCCCUGAAUGAUUCCGAGCCAUGGAAGAGUUUGCUGGAAACAUAGGAACGGCAUGUUGAUCCUGGUGACUUAUGCCUGUCCCUGGUUGAAGUCUUACUAUCAUUUGCUGCCUUCAAUUUCAGGGCUUCCGUUGUUUCUCUAAACAUGGGUUGCUCAAACUCCAUUUCCCACCUGGAAACAAAGAUUAGUGCCUGUUUUUAUUGUUGUUGUCGCUUAUGACAGGAGAAAGAAUGGAAAAAGUAGUUGUAGAAGAAGAAAAAGAUAAGAAUGAGGGUAAGGAAGGCAGACUUCGUUAUUUAUAUCCUAUUAAAAUACAAAGUAACCUUUUGACACGGUUUCAUUUUUUUAAUUAAUAAAACAAAAAGACAAAGUUUUAGGCGUGAGGGGGGUUUGACUCCGAAACCAUGGCCUCUACACUCCAAUAAGAAAAAUAUUGCUGUCUCAGAAACAAUGGGAUCUCUAAAAAGGAUUGAAAAAAAAAAAAAAAAACCUACAGAAAAUAGUAAGCCUACGUUUGGAAUAUAUUAUUCCUUGGAGUGUAAGAAUUUCCAUAUUUCUCAUUCCUCUCCCUAAAAUUUGAUUAUGGAGUAUCAAAUAGCCCAAGCAAUUGUUAGAAAAACAUUGAACCUUUCCUGGUCUACUUGGUUUGGAACGUGAUGUAUCCAAUCUGCCGUAUUAAUAAGGAGAGCAUUGCUAUUUAGAGGUGUCAAUAAUAUACCCAUACUCACGAGUUAUUCAUUUUAUAAAUUAGAUUACUUAAUUGAUAAAAAGAAUGAGAAUUUUUGUAUCUCAUUAUAAUUUGCACGGAUAGUUAUGAUUUCAAAAGAGUAAAAUGUGUAAAGAAAGCAAAGAAUUUGAUUGCUUUUCAGAAACUUAAUAUGAUUUUGGCAAUAUGCAUGAUAAUUUUAUUAAUGAUUAUUCAUCAAUAAGUAACAUUUAUGAAUUAAAAUUAAAUUUUGAUUUAUUGAAAAAGUAUUAAAAAAAUCAGUUAAAAAAAAUAAAUGAAAGAAUGAAGAAACAAACAAACGGAUCAAAUAAAAAAAAAAUAAAAAGAGAACCAACACAAAAUAAAAGUAGUGAAAUAGAUCUUCAAACCAAUACUCCACCACACUCAAGGCUAUUCAUUUGUAUUUGUGAUGAAGUGGCAUAUUAAAAAUAAAUAAUUUAAUUUAAUUAAGAAUGAUUUAAGAUAAAUAAUAAAAAUUUGAUUACUAAUUGAUAUAAUUUUAACUAUAGAAGGUAAAUAAUACAUACUCUUUAAGGUAAUGUUGUUCUUUCCAAAAUAGUUAAAUAUAAAAAUAAGCCAUUUAUUAUGCAUUUCUUAUCAAUUUGGCACCAAAAAAAUAAAAUAUUUAGUUUGGCACUCUAAUUUUCUUUCUUUCAUCACUUUGUUAUCGGAAACUAGCGUCAUCAGUCAAUUUAUUGACGUGAUAUAAAUAUCUAAUAAGAUAUUAACACAUGCUGAGAAAAUCUAAUCAAUGUCAAAUCAUCAAUAUUACAUCCGAAUUUAAAGAAAAUUUAAAAAAAUUUAAAUAUUUUUUAAAAAAUAUUUAAGCAUUUUAAAAAUUAUUUUAAAAACAAAAACUAAAAUUUUAAAAAUUUUUAAAAAUUAUUAAAACUUAAAAAAUUAAAAAAAUCUCAAAAUUUUAUUAGAAAAAUAAAAAAAUUUUGAAAUUUUCAUAAAAAUGAUAAUUUUAGUAAACAUAAAGUUUUCAUAAAUUUAAAAAAAAAAUCUCUAAAGCUUAAAAAAUUGAAAGUAAAAGAUCUAAAAUUUUUUGAAAAUAUCUAAAAAUUUUAAAAUAAUUGUAAUUCUUAUAAAUUAGGAAAAUUCUUCAUUUUUUUAAUCUUACAAUUUUAAUUUUCUUAUAUAUUUUGUGAUUUUUUACAUUUUUUUAAAUGUUUAUGGAUUUUUAUUAAAAUUUUAAGUUUUUUAUUUUAUAUUUUUCAAAAAAUUUAAUUUUUAGUAAAUUUCUUAGAAUAUUUCAUAUUUUUGAAAUUUUUUUAAUUUUUUCAAAAUUUUUGAAAAUAUUUUAUAAAAUUUUAGAUUUUAAUAAAAAUUAGAUUUUUUGUAAUUUUCAAAUUUUGUCAAAAAAUUCUAGAUUUUUUAGUUUUUGUGAACCUAUUUUUUUUAAUUUUUUAGAAUAUUUUGGAUUUUUUUUGGAUUUUUUGUCAAAAUUUGAGAUUUUAUGAAUUUUUUAAAGUUUUGAUAUUUUUUUAAAUUUUAUGUUCAAAUAAGAUUUCAUAUUUAUUUAAUUUUUCUAAUUUUAAAAAUAUUUUAGCUUUUAAAUUUUGUUGAAUUUUUUUACUAUUGAUGUGGUAAUUGAUGAUGUGGCACUACUAAACUUUUUGAUACAUGUCAGUAUCUUAUUAGAUGUUAAUGCCAUGUUGACAAAUUGAGUAAUUGCUUUAGUACGAGGUAUCAAAGUAAAUGGCGAAAUGAAAGUUAAAGAACCAAAUUGAUAAUUUUGUUUCUUAAAGUACUAAACUGACAGAAAGUGUAUAGUACAUGAAAUAUUUUUAUAUUUAACUUUUCCAAUCAUGAAAAAACCUAAAAGAGACUUGAAAUUGUUAUACAUGUAAUCGAUAAUCAUUCCUUAGUGUUGACCUUUAGAGUUCAAAGGAUGUCUCAUACCCAAAUAAUUUUUGGGUUUUUCCUACAUGUAAUAAUAAUAUUAAUUACCAAAUUACUGCUUAAUUUGAAAAAAAAAUGACAUUAAUAUAAAGAUAAAUGUACAUAAAAGAGAAGUUCUUUGUCCUUAGCUCUUUCCCUAAACAGUUGGAUCUCUAGCUCUACCUGUAAAUCAUUUAACGAAACACAAAUCAAUUGAUUACGUCACAACAUAUAAGUGAUUUAGUUACAAAUUAUGAUUCUUCUCAAACAAUAAAAUGAUGGGUGAUUGUGAUUGGAAUGAAACAAUAAAAAAUUUUCAUCGAUGCCUUUCGUUGCUGUUUCAGACACAGACUUGGCAAUGGUAAUGAUAAAAUGAUUAGUGACUGUGGCCAUGAUUAAAUUUUUAAAAUAAUCUAAUGAUAAGAGAAUAAUAUGCAACAUAUCUUUCAAAUUUGAAAUAGUAAAAAACAAAUCUAAUCAAUUUUAAUCCAAAUAUACAUUUAAUAUUUUUGGUCAAUAUAUUCUUGAAAAAUGAUUAAAUUAAAAAAAAAAAGAAAAAUUCUAGAAUUGACAUUUAUGAAUUCAAGAUUUAUACAAAAUUUUUCAUAUUUGAUAGGUUUUCAUUUUGAAUUUAAAUAAUUUAUCAAAUAGAAUUACUUUAUAAACCCAUUUUAGAGAUAAUAUAUUAUUACAAUUGAGAUUUUUAUAUUUAAAAAAUAUGUUUAUAUUAUUAGGAAAUUUAUUUUUAAUAAAAAUAUAUCUAAAUUAGAUUUUAUUGUUAACAAUUUUAAAAUUAUCCAUGUAGAUAUCCAUAUAAGUUAAUUUUUUGUGGUAAAUUCCUAUGUGUCAAAAAAUGAUAUAUAUAUAUAUAUAGGCAUUUACAUAUCCCAUAAUACUUACAUCUAAAAUUUGAAAGUUUUCGAUAACUAAAUUUUUUUAAAUAUAUUAUUUCUUGAUAAAUAGCCUAAAAUUAAGAAAUGUCUUAUAUGUCGUUAUAGAGAAAUUUUAAGAAUUUUAUCACAUGUCGAAAAGAAAAACCAUCAAUGUAAGCAAACCUUAUCAUGUAACAAUGUAUCCUGUAAUAUAAUAUAUAUUAUAUUUUUUUAAAAGAUUAUUAGUUAUCCAAGUGAUAAAAAUAGUCAUACUUGACACAGACCCCAAGUCUUAAGAUUUCACAAUGUAUAUAAUAAACUUUAAUUUUCCAUGUGUACAUAUACUAACAAAGUAAAAUAACAACAUAAAAUGUCAACCAAUGAUUCUCAUCAUUCAAGCAUAGAUUUAAAUAUCACAUAGAUAUUCCAAGCAUAAAGGGAAAGGUCCAACAUAGAGACAAACCAUAAUGUGUGAGUAUAAAAGACAAAUGAUAUACUCUUAAUAAUAAAUUACAUCAAAAGACCCUAAAAUACCUAUGUUCUCAAUAUGUUUACCAAAUACUAUAGGUCUUAUUCCUGUAGUCCAAGGAUCAACAAUCACGUUGUUAGUCUGAAUGUGUUUGACAACAAUAUUAUAAUUUUUCAUAAAAUCCCUAACUUUAAAAUAUAUUAUCUCCAAAUGUUUAAACCACUAAUGCUCUUGUUGUUCUUAGAAAACAACAUAGUUGACCUAUUAUCCCAAUAAAUCUUUAAAGGUCUGGAGAUGGAAUUAAUAAUACAAAGGCCUGACAUAAAAUUCAUAAGCCAAAUUGCCUAUGUAGUAGCUCUAUCGCAUGCAACAAACUCAACUUGCAUAAUGGAAAAAAAUAAGAGUGUUUGUUUCACAUAUUUCCAAGACAAAGCUCCUACAUCGACAUAAAAAAAUACCUUGAAGUGGACUCCAUGUCAUCCUAACAACUAGUGAAGUUAGAAUUUAUAUACCCUAUUAUCUGAAGAUUGUCCAUUUUUUUGUAUACCAACGUAUGGUUUUUUUGUCUUUUGCAAGUACCUAAUCACCUUCUUAACAGCAACCUAGUGAUUCAUACUAGGAUUUGAAAGAUAUCUCUCAAGAACUCACUCUGCAAAAGCAAUAUCUAGCCUAGUACAAACUUGAGCAUACAUGAGACUCCCAACUGCACUAGAAUAUGGUAUGUUCAUCAUGGAUUCUUUCUCCAAAUCAUUCUUUGGGCAUUGACUAAGAUUAAGUUUAUCACCUUUAACAAUGAGUGCAUUCCUAGCCUUACAACUUUGUAUGUUAAAUUUAUUAAGCGCAUGAUUAAUGUAAGACCUUUGCAAUAGUCCCAACAAAUUUUGAGAUCUAUCUCUAUGAAUUUCAAUCCCAAGAACAAAGGAAGCAUUCCUAAGGUUUUUAUAUCAAAAGUCUUGGAGAAUAGCUACUUAAUUUCAUGUAACAAACCAAUAUCAUUACAAGCCACUAAGUGUCAUCCACAUAUAACACAAGAAAGAUAUAUUUACUCCCCCUAAUUUUAAGGUGUAUGUAUUGAUCAACUUUAUUUUCCUCAAAACCAAGGGAAGUAACUAUCUGAUCAAAUUUUAGAUACCUUUACUUAGAAGCUUAUUUAAGGGCAUAGAUUGACGUUUUAAGUCAACUUACUAAAUGUUCCUUUUCAGAUUCUUGAAAUCUUUUUGGUUGCAUAAUGUAAACCUUUUCUCUAAAAUCACAAUUGAGAAAAGCCGUCUUUACAUCCAUCUAAUAAAGCUUCAAGUUAAAGUGUACUACCAAGGCCAUAACAAUCCUAAAGAAAUUUUUGGAAGACACUGGUAAAAACAUUUUGUUAUAAUCUACUCUUUCCCUCUAAAUAAAUCACUUUGCCACCAAUGUAACUUUAAAUAUCUCAAAUUUUUCUUUAGACCCUUUCUUGGUUUUAUACACCUAUUUACAACCAAUGGAUUUAUACUCUUUUGGCUGUUUAACAAGCUCCUAAGCACCAUUUUGAGCCAUAAAAUUUAUCUCAUUUUUUAUUGCAUCCAUCCAUACAUUAAAUUACAAAUGCUAAUAGUUUCACCAAAAGUCACAAGGUUAACAACAUGACUAAUGUCAUAGUCACUCUCUCAAUGAUAAAUUACAUAAUCAUUAGAGAUGUCGGAUCUUCUUUGUUUAAAAGAUCUCCUAAAAGGUAUUUCAAUAUCAUUCUUUCAAACUUGAAGUACAUCAGUAGGAUGAAGGUUUAUGUCCUAUUGCCUUGAUCUCUUCUUUCAAUGGCCACUAGCAUAAUAUGGCACUGUAUUAUAGGUAAAGUUAUGAAGAUAUGUCUAACAGAUUCACGGUUAUCCACAGCCUCUAUCACACUCUUAUCAACAACAUGUAGUUUAAGAAACUUUGCCACAUGUGACUCUACAAACUUAGUUCCACGUAUAGGACAAUAAAACUUAUAUCCCUUGAAACGAUCUAGAUACUCUAAAGAAAAGCAAUGAGUACUCCUAGGUUCAAUCUUUUUCUCAAAAGGUUAUAGAUUCUAACUUCUGCAAGAAAUCCACAAACUUUAAAAUGAUUCAAUUGGGGUUUCAUACCAAUCUACAAUUCAGAAGUUGUUUUAGGAACAAAUUUACUAGGUACUUUAUUAAGUAUAUACAAGACGGUUUUAAUACCUUCACCUCAAAAGGACUUAAGAAGAUUGGUCCUACAUAUAAGCUCUUUAUCAUACCCUUAAGGGUGUGAUUUUGCCUUUCGACCACACCAUUAUGUUCAAGACUACCAAGCAUAGCAUAUCAAGAAAAAUCUGACAUUCUUGUAAGUAUUUAGAAAAUGGUCUCAUAUGUUAUCUAAUUUCGCCAUAUCUACCAUCAUACUCACCACCUUGGAGCUAAUGACUUUGAUAACUUUCCCUAAUUCUUUCUCUACCUCAGUUUAAAAAUUUUAAAUUUUUAAAAGCAUUUCAAUUUUCAUCAAUUAGGUCAAGAUACCCAUAGCGAAAAUAGUCAUAAAUAAAAGUAACAAAAUAUAUGUUACCACAAAAGAUAGAUAUAAGAGGUCCACUAUUAUUAGUGUACAUAAUUUUCAAAAGGUCAAAAUUGCAAAUUGCAUCAUUUUUCUUAGUCGUAGUUAGUAUAUAUUUUAUACAAUCAACACAAGUGUCUAACUUUUCAAAACCAAGGGAAGGUAAAGUACUAUUUUUUUAUCAAUUUUUGCACUUUUUCACUAGAAAUGUGACCCAACUUUUUACGCCACAACAAAAAAGACUUUUCUUUAGUUAGAGAUUUUUAAGAUACUGUCUUUUCCACAUUAUUGCAACUAUAUUAAUUAUCAUAUGCCAAGCACGGUUUGUAUAAAUUGUCAAUUAGUUUAAAUUCAUCAAUAAUGAAUUCUCUUUAGUCAAAGAUUUUUUAGUCACUAUUUUUUCAACAUUAUUGCAACUAUAUUAAUUAUUGUAGGCUAAGUUUAUAUAAAUUGUCAAUUAGUUUAAAUUCACCAACAACAUUUGAAUUUUAAAACAAGUCAACUUUUUCAUAUCCAAUGCCAAAAUAAUAACCAUGUUUGUCCAAAAUAAAAACUAAAAUGAAAUUCCUCUGAAAUGAAGGUGUAUGAAAAACAUUUUGCAAAAUAAGCUCAAAGUCAGAUUCUAAAUUUAAGCCUAUUGUUCCUACAUAAUUAAUGGCUACUUCAGUAUUGUUUCAAACUCUAUGUGUUGCCUUUUUCUCACUUAGCUUUCAUUUGUUUUUGAAUCCUAGCAAAGGUAACAACAAUAUGAAUAGUUAAACCACUAUCAACCUACUAGGAAUUUGGUAAGCCACUGACAAAUUAGGAUAUAAAACAAACGACAGCUAGUGAGUUCCCUUCUUAUUUAUUUUUUUUCUUUAACCAAGCUUGAUAUUUAGGGUAUUCAUGUUUCAUAUGACAUUUUUUUUAUAGGAAAAACACUUGAUAUCUUUCUUAAUGAUAGCUUUAAGCCCUCUUACCUUUGUAGUCUGACCACUACCUUAUCCCUUGUUUUCUUGAUCUUUCUUGUGAGCAUUAGGAACAAAUUUCCUAGAUUUCUCAUAAUUUUUUUUGUAAUUAUAUUUGGAGUAUGUAGCAAAAAAAAACACUUUCACCCAUUUCUUUCUACAGUUUUUCUUCCUUAGAGACAAACUUUUAAAUAAGAUCAUUAACACUUCAAAACCUCAUUCAUAGCAUUAUAGACAGUUUUGAUCUGAGUGAACUCCAAAAGUAAGGCAUUGAGGGCGUGAUGAACAAUGAAUUUAUCAAGAAUGUCAAUUUCAUGAGAAGUCAAUUUGGUUUGAAUGUGGACCAUUCUCAUGAUGAAAUCUCUAGCACUCUUAACACUAUCAUACCUUACUACUUGUAAGCUCACUCAUAAGGUUCUUAGCUUUACACUAUAAUGGAUUUUUGGUAAUUUAUUGCCUUCAGCAGGUAAAGAUCCCUUAAGCAAUUUUUGUGGUAUCCAACUCACUCAAAAGGUAUUCAAAAAUAGAAAUAUUAAUGACAUAUAGACGUAUAUGAUUUGUCUUUUCCCAUUUGGGAAAAUAUUCCUUUUCUUUAGCAAUGCUUUCAUUAGUAAAAUUAGCAGGCUUUGAAAAAUGUAAGGCUACGUCUAUCUCAUUUAUAACUAAAGCAAAAUUCAAAUCUUCAUUCCAUUUUUUAUAAUUAGACCCAUGAAGAACUUUAAUAGUUGCUUAUUGUUAUUGAUAAUAAAAGUCAACAUUCAAGAUAAAAAUGCAACAUUAGUAAAUGGCAAUAUCAUAAAAUAUAUAGCAACAGUUCAUGAUGUACUAACAAUUAUUGAAAGGUCUUGGUACAUCACCACAAACUCUUUUUUGGAUAAAGAAUGUAAUAUACGAGUGGGAACUUUUCGGAUAACGCUAAUAUGAAAAUGUGCUAGCUUUUAAAAAUUAUAUCCCCUUCGGACAGAUAGAUUUUCUAGAUUGGUAAAACUUCAACCAUGAUGAUUUAUAUUCCAAAACAAAUUACCUUAUACAUUAACCCCCUUUAGGCAGUCAAUUGCAUAAAAUAAUUUAAUAACCAUCCCGUAACCAUAGAAUGAUAAAAUAUUACAUUAAUUUCAAUAAGUGAGCCAUUUUGACAACCAAAUAUUGAUAUCAAUUAAUGAAGAUUUUUUCAAAUAAAAAAAUUUCAUUAAUUGCUCAAAACUCUCAGUUUACAAACUCAACCAUAAUGUGUGCAAUGGACUAUCCCAACUAAGAAACUAACCCUAAAUGUAUCUAAUUAGGUAUUAUAAGCAGUGUACAUUAAAUUUAAACUAGUGUCUUGAAUUUUUUUUAAAAUCAAUUUGUAAUUACUAAAUCAACUACGCACUUAAGAGCACAUAAAUAUCAAGGCCUAUUUAGGAAGAAUACCUAUUAUCAUUAGACUCUCAUCAUACCAAAAUAUCACAAAAUAAAAUAAUAAAUAAUAUGUAUAACAUAUAGUAAUUUCUGAGCAAUGCAUGAAUAUCAAACAAAUAUUUCAUGCAGUUUAAAAAUUUUAAAAAAAAUUAGAAAUAAAAUUCCAAGUUUGCCAAAACUAACUAAAGAAAAAAUGGUGCUAGACGAGACGACACGUGCCCCAUGUGCCACCCACCAUGCAUGGAUUUUGUUCAACAUGGGGAAUGGUUUUUUUUAACCUCUAAAUGAGUUGACUCAAUGCGACUGGAAUAAUUCUUUACCUAUUCUAGUCUGUUCGUAUUUUUCCACCAUUUUUUAUGCAUUUUCUUGGUAAUUUCAACAAAUUGAAGCGCCCAAAAAUAAAACAAAUUUUCUAUCAAACCCUUGAUAAAAAAGUAUAAAACAAUGACAAAAAUAAGAUCAAUUGGUUAAAAUUUUUCAAAUUACAUAAAUAUAUAUUAGACCGCUUUUUGUUUUUUUUGUGUUUGGCUAAUCUAAAACAAUAUGAAAUAAAAACGCUUUGAUUUAACUUUAUAACACAUGAGAAACAUGAUUCCAGAAUCAAUUUUUAAUUAAACACAUAAAAUGUUUGAUGUUUUAAUCAAAACAAGAAUUUAGAUUAAAACCUAAACCCAAAAAUUCUCAACCUUGAUUUCUCUUUCGAUAUAAGGAAUUAGAAAAUGAUCAUUAUAUAAUUUUAAUCUUUUUUUAGAGAGGAACUAAAAUCUUAAAUCAAUUUCAAAAAAUAAAGAUCAAAAUUUAAAAUUUUGACAAUAAUAUAAUUUCACACUAAAUAUGUUGUUUGUUCAAAAAUCAAUUACAAAUCAUGAUUUUAGGGGCCAAAUAUCACAUAAUGAUAGCUCUGAUACCACACGUAAACAUUAACCCAAGUUCAUUGUUUGAUAAUUAGAACAUCGUAAAUAAAUAAAGAGCUUUGUCAUACUUAUUUGGGUGGUCAUGACGAAUAUAUGAAGCAAAACAAUACUUAAAGUGCCUAGGUCUUCCUCUUCACUAUUCUCUUAUUAGUGACACUCAAUGAGCAGUAACUGUAACUCGUAUAAAAGUAAAAAAGAAAAGGUUAUCUGAACCUAUUUUUAUUGAAAACCCUUAAAGCCUCCUCAUCAAACACUUAGUAGACUAAAGGUCUACAAAACCUCUAAACCAGAUUGAUCUAGUAAGCUAUGUAAGUCUUACAUUUAAGUGAUCACAUUAAAUUAUUUAAACUCUCAAGCUUAUCUCGUAUUAAGAGUAAACACAUCAAUCAAUUUUAUUAAAUUAUUAAAACCAACUAUUAAUGGUAGCCCACUUAUGAACAAUUCUUGCUCUAUAUCCUAAUAAGACAUCAACAGAGAGUUUAUAAAGUAAAGAUGAAGACUAUAUAAAGAGCAAUGGUGGUGGAAAGAUUAUUUUCUAAAUAAAAAUUUGGAUGUUGAAGCGGUCUUCAUAAAAGAUGACUCUCUAUGUUAAAGUGGUUCCACUAAAAUAGUAUACUAAGGUCAUAUUUGAUACAUAUGAUUAUUAACAGAAUAUGAAGAAUAUUUGUAAGGUUUGCAAUGAGGAUUAAUAUCCUCUUGGUAUAGGAUUAUUCAACCCUCUCAAAGUAAAGAGGAUAAUUUUUAAAUUUAUAGAUUAAACUUGCAGGUUCAAUUAUACCCUUAAAAAUUACUUUAAUAAUUUAAAUUGUAUAAACUUUGAAUAAGGAUAAUUUUGACAAAUAAAUAAAUUAUCCUAUCCUAAUCUUUACAUAUAGCAAACACAAAAUAAGAUGACAUUAUUUAAUCUAAUUCUAUUUAUAAUAUCAUUGUACCCUAUCAAGUUAUAAUCUUAUGUACUAAACAUGGCAUAAGAUUAUUAUAUCUAUGUAUAUUGAUAUUAUUUGUUAUUUUAUAACUAAGCUUUUGCGAUUCACAUAUUGUGAGGGGUUUCUAUGAUAACUUUUUAAAAGGCUAUUUGGCAUGAUUGCAAAUACAUGACAUCAUACAUGCUAAUAAAGGAUUAGGAUAGAGCGGUAUAUUCGAAUUCACCCAUAAGGUACUGUGUGAAUUGAAUUCCUNNNNNNNNNNNNNNNNNNNNNNNNNNNNNNNNNNNNNNNNNNNNNNNNNNNNNNNNNNNNNNNNNNNNNNNNNNNNNNNNNNNNNNNNNNNNNNNNNNNNNNNNNNNNNNNNNNNNNNNNNNNNNNNNNNNNNNNNNNNNNNNNNNNNNNNNNNNNNNNNNNNNNNNNNNNNNNNNNNNNNNNNNNNNNNNNNNNNNNNNNNNNNNNNNNNNNNNNNNNNNNNNNNNNNNNNNNNNNNNNNNNNNNNNNNNNNNNNNNNNNNNNNNNNNNNNNNNNNNNNNNNNNNNNNNNNNNNNNNNNNNNNNNNNNNNNNNNNNNNNNNNNNNNNNNNNNNNNNNNNNNNNNNNNNNNNNNNNNNNNNNNNNNNNNNNNNNNNNNNNNNNNNNNNNNNNNNNNNNNNNNNNNNNNNNNNNNNNNNNNNNNNNNNNNNNNNNNNNNNNNNNNNNNNNNNNNNNNNNNNNNNNNNNNNNNNNNNNNNNNNNNNNNNNNNNNNNNNNNNNNNNNNNNNNNNNNNNNNNNNNNNNNNNNNNNNNNNNNNNNNNNNNNNNNNNNNNNNNNNNNNNNNNNNNNNNNNNNNNNNNNNNNNNNNNNNNNNNNNNNNNNNNNNNNNNNNNNNNNNNNNNNNNNNNNNNNNNNNNNNNNNNNNNNNNNNNNNNNNNNNNNNNNNNNNNNNNNNNNNNNNNNNNNNNNNNNNNNNNNNNNNNNNNNNNNNNNNNNNNNNNNNNNNNNNNNNNNNNNNNNNNNNNNNNNNNNNNNNNNNNNNNNNNNNNNNNNNNNNNNNNNNNNNNNNNNNNNNNNNNNNNNNNNNNNNNNNNNNNNNNNNNNNNNNNNNNNNNNNNNNNNNNNNNNNNNNNNNNNNNNNNNNNNNNNNNNNNNNNNNNNNNNNNNNNNNNNNNNNNNNNNNNNNNNNNNNNNNNNNNNNNNNNNNNNNNNNNNNNNNNNNNNNNNNNNNNNNNNNNNNNNNNNNNNNNNNNNNNNNNNNNNNNNNNNNNNNNNNNNNGUUUACAAACUCAACCAUAAUGUGUGCAAUGGAUUAUCCAACUAAGAAACUAAGCCUAAAUGUAUCUAAUUAGGUCUUAUAAGCAGUGUACAUUACAUUUAAACUAGUGUCUUGAAUUUUUUUUAAAAUCAAUUUUUAAUUACUAAAUCAACUACGCAUUUAAAAGCAUAUAAAUAUCAAGGCCUAUUUAGGAAGAAUACCUACUAUCAUUAGACUCUCAUCAUACUAAAAUAUUUUAUCACAAAAUAAAAUAAUAAAAUAAUAUGUAUAACAUAUAGUAAUUACUAAGCAAUACAUGAAUGUUAAACAAAUAUUUUCAUGCAGUUUAAAAAUUUUACAAAAAAUUAGAAAUAAAAUUCCAAGUUUGCCAAAAGAAACUAUAGCAAAAAUGGUGCUAGACAAGCCCGCACGUGCCACAUGUGCCACCCACCAUGCAUGGAUUUUGUUCAAGAAAGGGAAUGGUUUUCUUUAACCUCUAAAUGAGUUGACUCAAUGCGACUGAAACAAUUCUUUACCUAUUCUAGUCUGUUCGUAUUUUUCCACCAUUUUUUAUGCAUUUUUUUCAGUAAUUUCAACAAAUUGAAAUGCCCAAAAAUAAAACAAUUUUUAUAUCAAAACCUUGAUAAAAAAUUAUAAAAAAAUGACAAAAAUAAGAUCAAUUGGUUAAAAUUUUUCAAAUUACAUAAACAUAUAUUAGACCCUUUUUGUUUUCUUCGUGUUUGGCCAAUCUAAAACAAUAUGAAAUUAAAUGCUUUGAUUUAACUUUAUAACACAUGAGAAACAUGAUUCAAGAAUCAAUUUUCAAUUAAACACAUAAAAUGUUUGAUGUUUUAAUCAAAACAAGAAUUUAGAUUAAAACUUAAACCUAAAAAUUUUCAACCUUGAUUUCUCUAUCGAUAUAAGGAAUUAGAAAAUGAUCUUUAUACAAUUUUAAUCCUUUUUAGAGAGGAACUAAAAUCCUAAAUCAAUUUCGAAAAAUAAAGAUCAAAAUUUAACAUUUUGAAAACAACAUAAUUUCACACUAAAUAUGUUGUUUGUUCAAAAAUCAAUUACAAAUCAGGAUUUUAGGGGCCUAAUAUCACAUAAUGAUAGCUCUGAUACCACACGUAAACAUUAACCCAAGUUCAUUGUUUGAUAAUUGGAACAUCGUAAACAAAUAAAGAGAUUUGUCAUACUUAUUUUGGUGGUCAUGACGAAUAUAUCGAAGCGAAAUAAUACUUAAAGUGCCUAGGUCUUCCGCUUCACUCUUCUCUUAUUGGAGACACUCAAUAAGCAGUAACCGUAACUCGUAUAAAGUAAAAAAAAAAAAAAGGUUAUCUGAACCUAUUUUAAUUGAAAACCCUUGAAGCCUCCUCAUCAAACACUUACUAGACUAAAGGUCUACCAAACCUCCAAACCAGAUUGAUCUAGUAAGAUGUGUAAGUCUUACAUUUAAGUGAUCACAUUAAAUUAUUUAAACUCUCAUGCUUAUCUUGUAUUAAGAGUAAACACAUCAACCAAUUUUAUUAAAUUAUUAAAACUAACUAUUAAUGGCAGCCCACUUAUAAAUUAUUCUCGCUCUAUAUCCUAAUAAGACAUCAACGGGGAGUGUAUAAAGCAAAAAUGAAGACUAUAUAAAGAGCAAUGGUGGUGGAAAGAUUGUUUUAUAAACAAAAAUUUGGAUGUUGAAGCGGUCUUCAUAAGAGACGACUUUCUGUGUUAGAGUGGUUCCAUUAAAAUAGUAUACUAAGGUCAUAUUUGAUACAUAUAAUUAUUAAUAGAAUAUGAAGAAUAUUCGUAAGGUUUGCAAUGAGGAUUAAUAUCCUCUUAGUAUAGGAUUAUUCAAUCAUCUCAAAGUAGAAAGGAUAAUUUUUAAAUUUAUAGAUUAAACUUAUAGGUUCAAUUAUACCCUUAAAAAUUAUUUUAAUAAUUUAAAUUGUAUAAACUUUGAAUAAGGAUAAUUUUGACAAAUAAAUAAAUUAUCCUAUCAUAAUCUUUACAUAUAGCAAACACAAAAUAAGAUGACAUUAUUUAAUCUAAUUUUAUUUAUAAUAUCAUUGUACCCUAUCAAGUUAUAAUCUUAUGUACCAAACAUGGCAUAAGAUUAUUAUAUCUAUGUAUAUUGAUGUUAUUUGUUAUUUUAUAACUAAGCUUUUGCGAUUCACAUAUUGUGAGGGGUUUCUGUGACAACUUUUUGAAAGGCUCUUUGGUGUGAUUGCAUAUACAUGACAUCAUACAUGCUAAUAAAGGAUUAGGAUAGAGCGGUAUAUUCGAAUUCACCCAUAAGGUACUGUGUGAAUUGAAUUCCUCAAUUCUUUUUAUUCAUGACCUAGAUUGGUGUAUUAUAUUACAGAAUGGUGGUGUAUCACAAUGAUUUUAUGUUGUUGUACAGCAAUUAUUGUUCAUUUCUUCAAACAUCAGUAAAUAAGAUUGAAGAACAGGUGCAUUGUCCUAAAACCAAAUGAACUUGAGUAAAAACCAUCAGCUCUAGGGAUUUUCGAAGAACUUGGAUAUCAUUUUGUUUAUUGAGAACCAAAUGAUGGAAAGAAAUAGGAAAGUAGUAUCGAAAUUAGGAAUAACCUUUAGUUUACAAUAGAUAAGUUGGUUGAUUUUGUCUGUGUACACUCGGGUAUACUAUUUUUUAUUUAUGUUAAUGAGCCUCACACAAAUCUUCAAUUUGGCUGACUUUAGGACUGAUAUUAGGUUCUGGAAGUCUAGAAUGCCUACUGAAUAUAUAGGGUGAAGAAAUCUAAAUAUUCAAUACUGAAAUUAUUUUAUACCUUGAUCUUAGCAUAUGAUAUUGGAAGUAGUUUACUAAAAUUGGGUAAGUUAUAUUGAGACAUUGAUAUUUCAAUUGGCUAUAUGUUAUACCUUUUUCAUAUUUUUUUAUCCUAAAGAUUGAAGGAAAAAUUCUAUUUUUAGAUGAGAUGUUAUGAUUUGCAAGAGUGAAUUAAAAUGGAAUUUGUAUUAAUGGAUAAAUUAUUACUUUAAGUAUUAUAUAUUGUUGGAAAGCUUGUUGAAUUUACUUUACAAUGAAAUAAACGUAAGUCGAAUCAAAGUUUUCUAUUAAGAGUUGUGUAAUUUUUAUUUAAUGAUAUGUAGACUGCCUGACAACGGUAGCAAUGAGGAAUUACAAAAUUUCUCUGAAUUUUUAUACAAUGAAUUACGAAUUGAGCCAUACAUGUUUAAAAAGGUUAUUGAGUUUAUAUUCCAAUGAAACAAGCAGAAUUGAAUUUGGAGUCUUUUAUGAAUAAAGAUAUCAUUUUGAUUACAAUACAUACAUGUUGUCUGGUAGUAGCAUAUGAUAUGGAUUGCAAAAAUUAUUACAAUUAAUCUACAAUAAAUUAUGAGGUGGGCCAUAUAUGUUGUCAUAACAUCUAGAUCCAGAGAUCCAUUGCUAGAUAUUAUUUUUAAGAGUCGUCACCAAUCUUUUUUAUCUAGGUGCGAUUGGUCACCUAGAGAAUUUAUCCUUUUAAAGAACACCUAAGCCUAAGGGUCCCUAAAAGAAUAGUUUUAGGUCUACUAAUCGGUACAGGGUUCGAGAGUACAGUUACGUGUGAGGAAGGUUAUAGCACCUUCACAACGCCCAUCUAAAGAUGGUACCAGCUUAAUUUUAUGUUAUCCAAUAAGCUUUAAAAAUUUACCAAGUAAUUAAUUAUUAGAAAUUAUUCUUAAUUGACUCUAAUACUUUUAGUAGAAAAUUGAAAAAAUUCCCUCACCUAAAGAGUAUGCAAGGAAACUACUGUUUCACUUGCAGAGGCUCUAUCGUCGGAUUAUUUAACAUUAAAGAAAAUUCAAAAAAAAAAAGAAAUAAAAUGAGAAAAAAAAGAAUAACAAUUCAACUUUAGAUAUAAAUCCUUUUCUCUUAAAAAACUCAUUGCUUUUGUACAAAAAAAUUGAUACUUUUAAAUUUUCCUCAAAAGCAUUUGAGAGUUUCUAUUUUUAAAAAAAUUGAUACUUUCAACUUUUUCUUAAAACGUUUUUUUUAAGAAAAAUUGAUACUUUCAACUUUUCCUCAAAAUGUUUUUCAGAAACUUUAAUUUCGAGGAAAAUUGAUAUUUUUAACUUUUUCUCAAAAAUAUUUUUUUUAAUUUAUUUUUAAGGAAAAUUAAUACUUUUACCUUUUCCUUUAAAAUAUUUUUUAGAAAAUUAUUUUCAAGGAAAAUUGAUACUUUCAACUUUUCCGUGAAAAUAUUUUUUAAAAAAUUUAUUUUUAAGAAAAAUUGAUACUUUCAACUUUUCCUCAAAAAUAUUUUUUUAGAAUUUUAUUUUAAGAAAAUCAUUAAAAAUAAAAUAAAAUAAAAAUCAGAAUAAAAAUAAAAUAAGGAAUACCAAAUUAUUCUAAUCUAAUCAAUAAAUAAUAAUAAUAAUAAUAAUAAUAAUAUAAUAAUAAUAACAAUAAUAAUAAUACUAAUAAAAGAAAUAAUAAUAAUAAUAAAUAAGAAAAAAAACUUUUGGAAUGGCUCGGCUCGGCUUAAGAGAUAAAAGUGAUUUAAACGUGAGGCUCAGCUGGAAACAGCUCGGUUCGGCUGGGGUCCAGGCAGAGACGUGGGUCGCUAAUCAGGUUGGUGCUCGGGUUGAGUCAUCCAAUUUCAAAACACGUGGAUCUUUUAAGAAUAGUAAGGCUAAAACGACAUCGUUUUCAGUCGGUAUAAAAGGCUUCUACUUCUGUUUCUUCGUAGAUUGUUUCCUUUCUCCUCUCUCUCUUCUUUUUUUUUCUCUUCCUUCUCUCUAAAUAGAAUCUAGAUUUCGGUUGAAUGUCUAUCGAAAUCUGGAAAAACAGGUCAAAAACUUUAAAGUUGGCCCAAAAUCUCGCCAAAAAAGUUGAAUCUUACCGAAAAAUUUCACCCGAUUCUGAAAAGUUUUAGAAAAUUUCAAAAAAAAAACUCAAAAAUUCUAAAAACUUUUUCGCAAAUUCCUAACGUUGUUUCUAACGCACCAGAACUUUUUUUAACCUCUGUUUCCCCUUUAUGUAUUUUUCGAUCUUUUUAUGUGCUCUCUGUGGACCUAUUUAUAAGGAUUGAUCAGAAGAGUUUCUGAUCAAUCCCAACGCCUUUUGGGAUUUUGAUUCAAUCUUUGAAUCCAAUCCCAAUUCUGCCAACCUCCAAUUUCAUGACCAAAUCCAAUUUUUUUUUAUCCUAAUCCUAGCAGAAAAUCAAUCAAGAUAAAAUAAAAAAAACACAUAUUAAUAGUUAAUAGAUAAAUAAUAAAAAAAUAUAUUAAUAAAUAAUAAUAAUAAUAAAAAAAUAAAAUACCCAUUUGGACCAAGCCCAAUUGAUCCGGGCCCGGAUCAAAUUGGGUGUCUACAUAUGUUUGAAAAGGUUUUUGAGUCUACUUUUCGAUUAAAUAAGCGAAAUUAAAUUUGGAGUCUUUUAUGAAUAAAUAUAUAAUUUUUAUUAAAAGAUAUAUAUACUAUCUGAUAGCAACAUAUGACAUAGAUUGUAAAAGUUAUUACAAUUAAUCUACACGAAAUUACGAGGUGGGCUAUAUAUAGUUAAAAAAUUUAUCGAGUUUAAUUUCUAAUGUACUAAAAAGAUUUUAAUUUUGAGUUGGAUAUCUUAAGAUAGGGUCAUUUUAGUGAAAGUAGCAUAGGCUACUAAAAUUAGUUAGUUAACCCUUAUAUAACUUAGUUGCUUUUAGUAUUAAUGGUCUUAAAUUGGAUUAAUUAAUUUUUGUUAUAUUGAAAUGAUUUUGAAUAGCCCAUUAAUUAUUUUGGGGGAAAAACUAAGUGGUGGAACCAAAAGGAAAUAAGUAGAAUCUUACACAUUUUGCUUAUUUUGAAACUUAUGUAUAUAUGUAUGUUUCUAAAUAAAUGAGAUUUAUUUCUUUAUUUUCGAUAUAAGAAAAUAGGCUGAGCAUAUGAUUAUUUUACGUUUUGCUAUAUAAAUGACGGAUCAUGUUUAUAAAUGAAAUGAGAAAUUGAUUUAUGCUUAAUGAAUGAUUUUAUAAUAGCUACAUAUUUUACAUCUUGAGAAGUGGGAUUAUCGAUACCAAAACUAGCUAUACUACCCUAGCUAACGGAUUAUAGUAGUUAAUAUAGUCACGAUCAAAUGGCACUACUAGUGGGUCAUAGUAGUUAGUGUAAAGGUUUGGCCAGCAGAUUAUAAUAGUUAGUAAAGAUCAUAAGGAUAAAAUUAUCAAUAUUUCCAAUGUUACGGAUUAUAGUAGUGAUCAUUGUUAAUGAUAAAGUAAUGAUAAUGAUGAUUUAUGAUGAUGAUGAUUUUAAAGAUUGAUUCAUGAUUUGAUUUAAUUACGAUAUUUGAAUGGUAACAUAUUUUGGAAUGAUUUAUGAAUUGAUCUAUUUUGAUUUUGAUUUAUGAUCUACAAAAUAUUUGACAUAAUGUUGAUUUUUGAAAUAUUUUGAUGUAUUAUUUGACAAAUGUUUCGAAUUAUCUAUAUGAUAUGUAUGAAACCGAUGUUUGAUCCGAUAAAGUGCAUGAUCCUAUACUAGAUUAGCUGGAAUUUGUUCAUUCUCUUUUUACCUUUUCUUUACACAUGAGUAACUGAUAAGUAUAUUUAGUCUUACUAAAAGCUAGAAGAUCAAUUUGGAAAUAUUACUUGGACAUUAGAAAUAUUGUUAGCUAGUGAGAUCUUAUGAAAUUAUUUUAUAUGUUUUUUAUUAAUUAACCUUUGAUAUAUAGAGAUGUAUCACUAGUUAGAUUAAAUUUAUGAAUUUUACUUGGCAAAUUAUUUUUAUUAAAGAAUUUUAAAAUGAUUAAGAGAAAAAAUUUCGUAUUACUUUAAAGUUUUAUUUGAAGAUAAUAUAACGGUGUUACAUCUUAGUUUUGGGGCAUGACACCAUUAUUAGACAAGUCUUGACCAGAUUGGAUUACGUAUCAGCCAAUUUGUCAGGCAUUGCAACAGAUUUCAGGUAAUUGGAGAGUCUGCAAACAUGACAGGCUUGAGCUAGUUUAAUUUCUGCUUUUGCUUUGUGAGACUAUUCCAAUGAAGUGAGGAAAGAUAGAUAAAUUUGAUUAUGAACUCGAAUCCAUUUUUGAUAGUAUAGUUAGACUCUGAAAGGGAGGAGGUUAAGAUUCAAAUCUUCGUGAAACCUCCUUCGAGAUGGAAACUUGGGAAGGAGAGCAGCGACUCGUUUGGCACUUUUCAAAUAUGAUGCAUACUGAAGGAUGACAGGAGUAUCAUUCUUUCCUGCAUCAAUUUUGUCACGGUCCAAGCUUAUUGUCUGAAAAGCACUAGCCAAAGGCAAGACAUGGAUACCGUGACUAUUCUCCUUUCCUACCAGGUCCUUAAGCGCCUUCUUCUUGAAAGUCCAGCUGCCAGUUCUCAGGUUGAAAUGGUAUAGAGGAAGAAAUCGUUGGCCAUAGAUGGCUACGAACUCCAACGCCGCAAGAAUGUAUUCAAACUCCUCAUUUGACAUGUAGUAAGGAAAGCUGACUCUCGUCCAUCCAGGUUUUGCUCCUAUGUAGCCCUGCAAUCAAACUUUGCAAUUGGCAUUAGAUAAGUUGAAUUAUAUUUUACUUCUCUUCAUUUGGUCAAAAAAGAAAAAAAGGAAAAUUUUGUACUGAUACCCUUUUAAUAGCUUCUCUGAACGCAAGGGAUCGAGUCUGAUCAAUAUCAAGCAAACUGUGGCCAUAAGGUCCAGCACAAGCACACCCACCUCGAGCUUGGAUGCCAAACAGAUCAUUUAGGAUGGUUGCAACAAAAGGGCCAUGGAGAGGUUUAUCCCUCUUGUUCCCAGUCUCUCCCCACAUGAAAAGUCCCCUACCCUUUUCCUUUGCCUCGUCAACAUUGUUACCAUCGUUGGUUGUGGAGUAGAUGAGGAAAGACAGUAUGGCUUGUCUCUGGGUCUCGGUGCUUGCAUUUCCUAAAACCCUUAUGUUUU
RNAcentral lists this long non-coding RNA (22407 nucleotides) under Durio zibethinus. RNAcentral describes it as "long non-coding RNA (DZIB_LNC001105)". Lineage: Eukaryota; Viridiplantae; Streptophyta; Magnoliopsida; Malvales; Malvaceae. The record is from RNAcentral.